Molecule: long non-coding RNA, 1431 nt
Organism: Xiphophorus couchianus (Monterrey platyfish)
Lineage: Eukaryota; Metazoa; Chordata; Actinopteri; Cyprinodontiformes; Poeciliidae
Exons: 7
Source: RefSeq, a predicted model, not a curated record
AGUUGAGUUUAUGUUAAAACAUCUUGCCAUAAUUACAAAUUCGUGACCUUGAAAUGAUGAAUCCAUGACGCAAUUUAAGAUAUCUCAAAAUGUUCUUCUUGGCUAAUCAUGAUGUAAAUGCAUAUAUUUUAAAUUACCAUUCAGGAUAUUAGAAAUGUAGUUGUUUCUAGUCAAAUCUCAUUUUUAUAUAUCCAGAUUUUUAGCAGAGCCAAUUUUAUGCUAAAUCUGCCUGCCAUAAAAAGGUGUUUUCCUUCCCAUUGGUCCUCUGGCUCAUUAUUAUUCAGGUGUUUGCAAUCCACCGCCUCAUGUGCUGCUUUUAAAGCGGUUCCCCCUCAUAUUGAACUUUAACCCGACGGAAAUGGACGUCUCCGAGAAAAGACCACGCCACUCCGUGAAGACUGUGGCGUGGUCUCUGAGCAAAACCGGCUUUGCUGCAGCGAUGGAUCUCGGAAUGGAGAUCCAGCAGCGGUGGCUCAGAUGUGGAGGAUCCACCGGUUUUAUUCGCGCCCCGCGGGUUGGAUGAUUGGUUUGUUUCCCUGGAACAUCGGAUCUCUGGCCUGGAGGAGAAACGGCGGAACCCCGCCAGAGGAAAAGACGGUGCAACAAACUGGCGGAAGUUGUUCACCGUCUUCACAAUGCGGAAACGAACAACAGUCGUUACAAGCCACAACAGGGAAUGAGCUCUGUGCACAACCAUGCAGUUACUAUCGGCCUAGUCCAAUCCCUGAGGGCAUAUCCGGAUUUUCAGCGCGUGGAGAGUGGCGUUCUCAUUUCUUCUUGUAAGACUUAUUUUGAGACGAUAUGAAGAAACUUUAGGUACCAGCAGCCGCACCUUGCACACAAGGCCGCUUUGCAGAAGAACUCCUCCAAGAGUCGGGCAAGAAGGAAGAGAGUCAGCUAUUUUGAUGAAACCUGAUCUUCUGCCUGUUGCAGUUACUGUUGGCCAGGCAGAGCAUGCUGAAAGCGGAGGAGCUGGAGCUCCGGCGCGGCGUCACGACGGAGCUGAUGUCCGACGAGGAGGACGGCGCGUUGGACGGCACGUAUGGAUGGAUUGUGCGUCGUCCCUCGUUUCGUAGGAAGGAACUCAGCGACCUUUGCACGGCUCUUCAGAGCAGACUGGAUUCCUCUCCGAAGUACAACGCCACACAUCACCAGCGGCUGCGCUUUGGACCCGACUCUGACAGACCGCCGCCCAGCAACUACAGCGGCGAGGCGGCGAAGAGACACUUCAAACCAGAGGCUUUGCCCGUAAUUCUAGAAUAACUACCAGAACUCCUUCACUUUACAACAUAAAAACAUUCGCAUCUGCAGAUCAUUUCCUGGUUGUCUCCAGCGUCCGUGCUGACUUCCUCCUCCUCCUCUUCGUUCAGAGCGACCUUCCCAGCUGAAGUCUCUACUUCCUGGUCCAUCCUGCAGUCUGCAGGUGGUUCU